Molecule: unclassified non-coding RNA, 178 nt
Filed under: uncultured Glomus
Lineage: Eukaryota; Fungi; Glomeromycota; Glomeromycetes; Glomerales; Glomeraceae
Description: sequence contains 18S rRNA gene
Rfam family: Eukaryotic small subunit ribosomal RNA
Source: RNAcentral
AGCAGCCGCGGUAAUUCCAGCUCCAAUAGCGUAUAUUAAAGUUGUUGCAGUUAAAAGCUCGUAGUUGAACUUCAGGCCUGUCCAGACGGUCCGCCUUAAUUGGUGUGUACUGUCCUUGGGUGGGUCCUACCUUCUGGCGAAGCGGCAUGGCCUUAGUUGGUUGUGUUGGGGAACCAGG